RNAcentral lists this long non-coding RNA (1155 nucleotides) under Canis lupus dingo (dingo). RNAcentral describes it as "lncRNA (ENSCAFG00020024252.1)". Lineage: Eukaryota; Metazoa; Chordata; Mammalia; Carnivora; Canidae. The record is from RNAcentral.
AUAUCUCUAGAAAACCGCGCAGGAGCCCGAAAACAAAGAGUGCGCACGCGCGGCGGCAGGGCCCGGGCAUUUUGCUGCGUCACCAGCCGCCGCCCGGCCUCACCACCCCUCGCUCGCACGCACGCACGUUCAUCCUCCGUCCUCGCGCCCCGAUUCCUACACUUUCCUCUUCUCCGAGACCGGAGGAGCCGCUCUCUCCGCGCAGUGCAUUCUGGGGACCCGGGUCGAGCCCGCCGUCGCCUGAGGGAAGCGAGGAGAGGCCGCGACCGGGAAGAAAGCGCCGAGUCGCCACCGGAGGAGAGUCGACUGCCCGGCAGCUGCCGCCGGAGAGGCCCGCCCACCCGCUCGCCCGGCCCCCCGCCCCGUUCACGAUGUGAGUGCGCCGGCCGGCCGGGGGAAGGUCGCCCCGCGGGGAGGCCGAGGCGGCCCUCCCCUCCCCUCCCCCGCCCUGCGCCCCCUCGGCCUUCUCCCCGCCGCGGCGGCGGGCGUUCGCUCUUGCGGUGGGAGGUCUGGCAUCCUUGUUCCGGUUACCGUUGGCGGGCGGAGGACAUUUUCCCUCCAGAUGUCCUUUUUCCCCACCUCGGACCGGCCCUCGGCUUCCCCACGCCGGAAGCCCCACUUUUCCUCGCUUGCCGGCCCCGGUUGCUCGCACUCCGCAACUUAGCCGUAGGCCUCAGCCCCCGGGAGCUGUGGGCGGUGCGGAGCCUCCUGGAGACCGCUCGGCUGGGGCAGUCCGCUUCUGUGGCUCCGGCGCCGGGCCCGGACCCCGGGCCCCGGACCAGGUGCACCUGCGGGGGGCGCUCCCCGAAGGCCGGCGGCGCUCCUCGCAGAGCAGCACGCGGCCUUCCGCCGCGAGCGACAGGUACUGCUCGGCCACUGCAGGGAGGUCACAACGUCAUCACAACUUCCCCAGCUCUCUCCGGGGUCGUGAUUUCUUGGGAAUGGGUCUUCCCAGGCCUCCCCAACUCCAAGCUUUUGCCGAGAGUGAAGGUUGCCAAAACUCAGCCUUGCCCGUGGCCGCGAGGAGUUAGCCUUGAGCAGGUAGUUCGCACGUGUCGAAUCGAAAGAUCCUUGGGGACGUUUUCUGUGUUCAGCGUUAGACUGGAGGUGAGGUUUCACGAUCCUGUUUUAAUUAAAGGUGAGAUAGGUACGUGA